This 469-nucleotide ribosomal RNA is filed under the name uncultured bacterium. RNAcentral's name for it is "partial 16S ribosomal RNA". It matches the Rfam family "Bacterial small subunit ribosomal RNA", at positions 27 to 507 of the family's 1533-position model. The record is from RNAcentral.
GGACGAACGCUGGCGGCGUGCUUAACACAUGCAAGUCGAACGGAAAGGCCCUGCUUUUGUGGGGUGCUCGAGUGGCGAACGGGUGAGUAACACGUGAGUAACCUGCCCUUGACUUUGGGAUAACUUCAGGAAACUGGGGCUAAUACCGGAUAGGAGCUCCUGCUGCAUGGUGGGGGUUGGAAAGUUUCGGCGGUUGGGGAUGGACUCGCGGCUUAUCAGCUUGUUGGUGGGGUAGUGGCUUACCAAGGCUUUGACGGGUAGCCGGCCUGAGAGGGUGACCGGCCACAUUGGGACUGAGAUACGGCCCAGACUCCUACGGGAGGCAGCAGUGGGGAAUAUUGCACAAUGGGCGGAAGCCUGAUGCAGCAACGCCGCGUGCGGGAUGACGGCCUUCGGGUUGUAAACCGCUUUCGCCUGUGACGAAGCGUGAGUGACGGUAAUGGGUAAAGAAGCACCGGCCAACUACGUG